GACGAACGCUGGCGGCGUGCUUAACACAUGCAAGUCGAACGGAAAGGCCCUGCUUUUGUGGGGUGCUCGAGUGGCGAACGGGUGCGUAACACGUGAGUAACCUGCCCUUGACUUUGGGAUAACUUCAGGAAACUGGGGCUAAUACCGGAUAGGAGCUCCUGCUGCAUGGUGGGGGUUGGAAAGUUUCGGCGGUUGGGGAUGGACUCGCGGCUUAUCAGCUUGUUGGUGGGGUAGUGGCUUACCAAGGCUUUGACGGGUAGCCGGCCUGAGAGGGUGACCGGCCACAUUGGGACUGAGAUACGGCCCAGACUCCUGCGGGAGGCAGCAGGGGGGAAUAUUGCACAAUGGGCGGAAGCCUGAUGCAGCAACGCCGCGUGCGGGAUGACGGCCUUCGGGUUGUAAACCGCUUUCGCCUGUGACGAAGCGUGAGUGACGGUAAUGGGUAAAGAAGCACCGGCUAACUACGUG
This 468-nucleotide ribosomal RNA is filed under the name uncultured bacterium. RNAcentral describes it as "partial 16S ribosomal RNA". It matches the Rfam family "Bacterial small subunit ribosomal RNA", at positions 28 to 507 of the family's 1533-position model. The record is from RNAcentral.